CAGCCGCCACGGUAACACGUAGGUGGCAAGCGUUGUCCGGAAUUAUUGGGCGUAAAGGGCUCGCAGGCGGUUUCUUAAGUCUGAUGUGAAAGCCCCCGGCUCAACCGGGGAGGGUCAUUGGAAACUGGGAAACUUGAGUGCAGAAGAGGAGAGCGGAAUUCCACGUGUAGCGGUGAAAUGCGUAGAGAUGUGGAGGAACACCAGUGGCGAAGGCGACUCUCUGGUCUGUAACUGACGCUGAGGAGCGAAAGCGUGGGGAGCGAACAGGAUUAGAUACCCCUGUAGUCCCUGUCUCUUAUAC
RNAcentral lists this ribosomal RNA (301 nucleotides) under uncultured bacterium. Its description in RNAcentral is "partial 16S ribosomal RNA". It matches the Rfam family "Bacterial small subunit ribosomal RNA", at positions 509 to 807 of the family's 1533-position model. The record is from RNAcentral.